UACAGAGGUCCCAAGCGUUGUUCGGAUUUACUGGGCGUAAAGGGUGCGUAGGCGGCAGGGUAAGUUUGAGGUGAAAGCUCCGGGCUCAACCCGGAAAAUGCCUUGAAAACUAUCCUGCUGGAGGGUUGGAGGGGAGACUGGAAUUCCCGGUGUAGCAGUGAAAUGCGUAGAUCUCGGGAGGAACACCAGUGGCGAAGGCGAGUCUCUGGACAACACCUGACGCUGAGGCACGAAAGCCAGGGGAGCAAACGGG
This 253-nucleotide ribosomal RNA is filed under the name uncultured bacterium. Its description in RNAcentral is "partial 16S ribosomal RNA". It matches the Rfam family "Bacterial small subunit ribosomal RNA", at positions 524 to 776 of the family's 1533-position model. The record is from RNAcentral.